This is a small nuclear RNA of Saimiri boliviensis boliviensis (Bolivian squirrel monkey), 109 nucleotides long. The record is from RefSeq and is a predicted model, not a curated record. NCBI's taxonomy places the organism in Eukaryota, Metazoa, Chordata, Mammalia, Primates, Cebidae.
GUGCUCACCUUGGCAGCACAUAUACUAAAAUUAGAAUGAUAAGAGCAGACGAUUAGCAUGGCCUCUGCUCAAGGAUGACACACAAAUUCAUGAAGCAUUACACAUUUUU